This 744-nucleotide ribosomal RNA is filed under the name Staphylococcus aureus. Its description in RNAcentral is "bacterial SSU rRNA". It matches the Rfam family "Bacterial small subunit ribosomal RNA", at positions 23 to 749 of the family's 1533-position model. Lineage: Bacteria; Bacillati; Bacillota; Bacilli; Caryophanales; Staphylococcaceae. The record is from RNAcentral.
CGUCGGAUGAACGCUGGCGGCGUGCCUAAUACAUGCAAGUCGAGCGAACGGACGAGAAGCUUGCUUCUCUGAUGUUAGCGGCGGACGGGUGAGUAACACGUGGAUAACCUACCUAUAAGACUGGGAUAACUUCGGGAAACCGGAGCUAAUACCGGAUAAUAUUUUGAACCGCAUGGUUCAAAAGUGAAAGACGGUCUUGCUGUCACUUAUAGAUGGAUCCGCGCUGCAUUAGCUAGUUGGUAAGGUAACGGCUUACCAAGGCAACGAUGCAUAGCCGACCUGAGAGGGUGAUCGGCCACACUGGAACUGAGACACGGUCCAGACUCCUACGGGAGGCAGCAGUAGGGAAUCUUCCGCAAUGGGCGAAAGCCUGACGGAGCAACGCCGCGUGAGUGAUGAAGGUCUUCGGAUCGUAAAACUCUGUUAUUAGGGAAGAACAUAUGUGUAAGUAACUGUGCACAUCUUGACGGUACCUAAUCAGAAAGCCACGGCUAACUACGUGCCAGCAGCCGCGGUAAUACGUAGGUGGCAAGCGUUAUCCGGAAUUAUUGGGCGUAAAGCGCGCGUAGGCGGUUUUUUAAGUCUGAUGUGAAAGCCCACGGCUCAACCGUGGAGGGUCAUUGGAAACUGGAAAACUUGAGUGCAGAAGAGGAAAGUGGAAUUCCAUGUGUAGCGGUGAAAUGCGCAGAGAUAUGGAGGAACACCAGUGGCGAAGGCGACUUUCUGGUCUGUAACUGACGCUGA